This is a small nucleolar RNA of Camelus dromedarius (Arabian camel), 129 nucleotides long. The record is from Ensembl. NCBI's taxonomy places the organism in Eukaryota, Metazoa, Chordata, Mammalia, Artiodactyla, Camelidae.
GGGGUGUGCUCAGUGCAGGGCUUCUGAAGAAAUGGCUCCUCUGUUUACAACACACCCAGCAGGAAUCUGGGUUCAUUGUGACAAGGGGCACAAAGCUUGGGGCCUUCCUAUGAACAAAUACCUACAUGU